AGUGAACGCUGGCGGUAGGCCUAACACAUGCAAGUCGAACGGCAGCACAGUAAGAGCUUGCUCUUACGGGUGGCGGGUGGCGGACGGGUGAGGAAUACAUCGGAAUCUACUUUUUCGUGGGGGAUAACGUAGGGAAACUUACGCUAAUACCGCAUACGACCUACGGGUGAAAGCAUGGGAUCUUCGGACCUUGCGCGAUUGAAUGAGCCGAUGUCGGAUUAGCUGGUUGGCGGGGUAAAGGCCCACCAAGGCGACGAUCCGUAGCUGGUCUGAGAGGAUGGUCAGCCACACUGGAACUGAGACACGGUCCAGACUCCUACGGGAGGCAGCAGUGGGGAAUAUUGGACAAUGGGCGCAAGCCUGAUCCAGCCAUACCGCGUGGGUGAAGAAGGCCUUCGGGUUGUAAAGCCCUUUUGUUGGGAAAGAAAAGCAGCAGGUUAAUACCACGCUGUUCUGACGGUACCCAAAGAAUAAGCACCGGCUAACUUCGUG
RNAcentral lists this ribosomal RNA (492 nucleotides) under uncultured bacterium. Its description in RNAcentral is "partial 16S ribosomal RNA". It matches the Rfam family "Bacterial small subunit ribosomal RNA", at positions 29 to 507 of the family's 1533-position model. The record is from RNAcentral.